Long non-coding RNA from Magnolia sinica, 548 nucleotides. RefSeq lists it as uncharacterized. The record is from RefSeq and is a predicted model, not a curated record. The transcript has 5 exons. Lineage: Eukaryota; Viridiplantae; Streptophyta; Magnoliopsida; Magnoliales; Magnoliaceae.
UUUGACCAUCUAACCAAUGUUUACUGACAUUAAAGUUCACAACUAUGAGAGUUGGGUCCAUAGUUAUAGACACCCAUUACUAUGUUUUGAAAUUUGCGCAAUACAUUUGAGCUCAUCCAAUUGUAGGGCGGCAUGCACUAGGAACCUUCAAGUUCUAUUUAUGAACACAGGAUGCAUUUUGAAAAGGAUAAAGCAUUAGCUUGACUAUUCCAGCCUGUGUUGAUUGGUCCUAAGCUCGGGUAAGGGAGGAGGGAAAAGGGCGUUAAGAUCAAUCCAAGGCCAUGACAAUGCCAAGAAUAACCACCUAGUGACUUAUCUAUUGCUCAGUUCUGGUUUUUGGAGCGACUACUUGUUGUCCAUGGGCACUAGUGCUAUACGAGGAUUAUCCAAAUGGGGCCUAUUGUUACCACAAUCCAAGCUUUACUGACACCUCAUCCAAUGAAUGAACUUCAAGUAAAGUGGGACAAGAUUGAAGACAAGUACGCAAUGACUGUGCUUACAUUGGCUGUAGCCAUCGCAUUGUGGGGCUCGGCAGGUUUGAUCUCAGU